This 468-nucleotide ribosomal RNA is filed under the name uncultured bacterium. RNAcentral's name for it is "partial 16S ribosomal RNA". It matches the Rfam family "Bacterial small subunit ribosomal RNA", at positions 28 to 507 of the family's 1533-position model. The record is from RNAcentral.
GACGAACGCUGGCGGCGUGCUUAACACAUGCAAGUCGAACGGAAAGGCCCUGCUUUUGUGGGGUGCUCGAGUGGCGAACGGGUGAGUAACACGUGAGUAACCUGCCCUUGACUUUGGGAUAACUUCAGGAAACUGGGGCUAAUACCGGAUAGGAGCUCCUGCUGCAUGGCGGGGGUUGGAAAGUUUCGGCGGUUGGGGAUGGACUCGCGGCUUAUCAGCUUGUUGGUGGGGUAGUGGCUUACCAAGGCUUUGACGGGUAGCCGGCCUGAGAGGGUGACCGGCCACAUUGGGACUGAGAUACGGCCCAGACUCCUACGGGAGGCAGCAGUGGGGAAUAUUGCACAAUGGGCGGAAGCCUGAUGCAGCAACGCCGCGUGCGGGAUGAAGGCCUUCGGGUUGUAAACCGCUUUCGCCUGUGACGAAGCGUGAGUGACGGUAAUGGGUAAAGAAGCACCGGCUAACUACGUG